AUCCAGCCGAUGAGUCCGAAAUAGGACGAAACAUACGUCCUGGAU
Molecule: non-coding RNA, 45 nt
Organism: Schistosoma mansoni
Lineage: Eukaryota; Metazoa; Platyhelminthes; Trematoda; Strigeidida; Schistosomatidae
Source: Rfam